This 253-nucleotide ribosomal RNA is filed under the name uncultured bacterium. Its description in RNAcentral is "partial 16S ribosomal RNA". It matches the Rfam family "Bacterial small subunit ribosomal RNA", at positions 524 to 776 of the family's 1533-position model. The record is from RNAcentral.
CACGUAGGGCGCAAGCGUUGUCCGGAAUUAUUGGGCGUAAAGAGCUCGUAGGCGGUCUGUUGCGUCCGCUGUGAAAACUCGGGGCUUAACCCCGAGCCUGCAGUGGAUACGGGCAGACUAGAGGUAGGUAGGGGAGUGUGGAAUUCCUGGUGGAGCGGUGAAAUGCGCAGAUAUCAGGAGGAACACCAGUGGCGAAGGCGGCUUUCUGGACGGUAACUGACGCUGAGACGCGAAAGCGUGGGGAGCAAACAGG